Molecule: ribosomal RNA, 121 nt
Organism: Bison bison bison
Lineage: Eukaryota; Metazoa; Chordata; Mammalia; Artiodactyla; Bovidae
Source: Ensembl
GUCUACAGCCAUACUACCUUGAACGCGCCUGAUCUCAUCUGAUCUUGGAAGCUAAGCAAGGUCAGGCCUGGUUCGUACUUGGAUAAAAAUUUCACCUUAAUUAAAAAACGGUGUGUAGAGA